Pelobates cultripes (western spadefoot toad) is the source of this 275-nucleotide non-coding RNA. The record is from the annotation of a GenBank genome assembly. NCBI's taxonomy places the organism in Eukaryota, Metazoa, Chordata, Amphibia, Anura, Pelobatidae.
CCCACCCUCAGGGUCCCCCUCCCGCCCGGCUCUGGAAGGGGGAAAGGGGUAAAAACUUACCUUUUUCCAGCGCUGGGCGGAGAGCUCUCUGCCUCCUCUCCUCCUCCGAUCCUCCUCCGUUACGCCCCGCCGGCUGAAUGCGCACGCGCGGCAAGAGCUGCGCGCGCAUUCAGCCAGUCUCAUAGGAAAGCAUUUACAGUGAGAAGCACGCAAGCGCCUCUAGUGGCUGUCAAUGAGACAGCCACUAGAGGGAAUAGGGGGAAGGCUUAACCCAU